This 257-nucleotide long non-coding RNA is filed under the name Monodelphis domestica (gray short-tailed opossum). RNAcentral's name for it is "lncRNA (ENSMODG00000030646.2)". Lineage: Eukaryota; Metazoa; Chordata; Mammalia; Didelphimorphia; Didelphidae. The record is from RNAcentral.
AUGCUUAGUUUGACUGUACCCAACAAUCCCACAGGGGAAAUAUGUCCUCUUUCUGAUUGGCCUGACUUGGUGGAUAUUUCAAAAGUGAAGUUGGACUUAGACUUAGUUGGAUUACUCCGACAUUGCGUCACCACUGAAGAGAAGGAUCUUCACCCAGAAGAAACAGAUGAAUUUUGUUUAAUGACAGAAGACAGAGAGGAAAAAAAAGGGUGAGCAUUCAAGGAAGGCAGGUUGAAAUAAAUAAAAUUUUCUUUCCA